AGCGAACGCUGGCGGCAGGCCUAACACAUGCAAGUCGAACGAACCUUUCGGGGUUAGUGGCGGACGGGUGAGUAACACGUGGGAACGUGCCUUUAGGUUCGGAAUAACUCAGGGAAACUUGUGCUAAUACCGAAUGUGCCCUUCGGGGGAAAGAUCUAUCGCCUUUAGAGCGGCCCGCGUCUGAUUAGCUAGUUGGUUGAGGUAAUGGCUCACCAAGGCGACGAUCAGUAGCUGGUCUGAGAGGAUGAUCAGCCACAUUGGGACUGAGACACGGCCCAAACUCCUACGGGAGGCAGCAGUGGGGAAUCUUGCGCAAUGGGCGAAAGCCUGACGCAGCCAUGCUGCGUGAAUGAUGAAGGUCUUAGGAUUGUAAAAUUCUUUCACCGGGGACGAUAAUGACGGUACCCGGAGAAGAAGCCCCGGCUAACUUCGUG
This 434-nucleotide ribosomal RNA is filed under the name uncultured bacterium. RNAcentral describes it as "partial 16S ribosomal RNA". It matches the Rfam family "Bacterial small subunit ribosomal RNA", at positions 29 to 507 of the family's 1533-position model. The record is from RNAcentral.